AUGUCCAGCAGCAGAUCUCUGAGUCUGACCUCCAUCACCGACUCGGCCGCAGUGCACUCUGGGAAACGCUGCUCCUCUGAGUGUCUGUACUUGUUCUCCUCUCACUCCUGUAGAGCCGCGGUGAUCCGCUCUCGCUGCCUGACACAGCGCCUCCUUCAGGCGUUUCUCUCGGUUCCGCUCGAGUUUCAGACUCUGCAGGAGCGCUCAGCGUUUCCACCGAGGAGAAGAACCCCAGCG
This 237-nucleotide long non-coding RNA is filed under the name Neogobius melanostomus (round goby). Its description in RNAcentral is "lncRNA (ENSNMLG00000007860.1)". The record is from RNAcentral. Lineage: Eukaryota; Metazoa; Chordata; Actinopteri; Gobiiformes; Gobiidae.